GACGAACGCUGGCGGCGUGCUUAACACAUGCAAGUCGAGCGGUAAGGCCCUUUCGGGGUACGACGAGCGGCGAACGGGUGAGUAACACGUGGGUGACCUGCCCUCAGCUCUGGGAUAAGCCUGGGAAACCGGGUCUAAUACUGGAUAUGACUCCAUGACGCAUGUUGUGGGGUGGAAAGCCUUGUGCGGCUGAGGAUGGGCCCGCGGCCUAUCAGCUUGUUGGUGGGGUGANGGCCUACCAAGGCGACGACGGGUAGCCGGCCUGAGAGGGCGACCGGCCACACUGGGACUGAGACACGGCCCAGACUCCUACGGGAGGCAGCAGUGGGGAAUCUUGCGCAAUGGGCGAAAGCCUGACGCAGCGACGCCGCGUGAGGGAUGACGGCCUCGGUUGUAA
This 397-nucleotide ribosomal RNA is filed under the name uncultured bacterium. RNAcentral's name for it is "bacterial SSU rRNA". It matches the Rfam family "Bacterial small subunit ribosomal RNA", at positions 28 to 428 of the family's 1533-position model. The record is from RNAcentral.